Non-coding RNA from Chelonoidis abingdonii (Abingdon island giant tortoise), 73 nucleotides. NCBI's taxonomy places the organism in Eukaryota, Metazoa, Chordata, Testudines, Testudinidae. The record is from the annotation of a RefSeq genome assembly.
ACCCAGGUAGCUCAGCUGGUAGAGCAUCAGGCCCUUAAUCUGAAGGUCCAGGGUUCAAGCCUCUGUCUGGGUG